Molecule: ribosomal RNA, 1453 nt
Filed under: uncultured bacterium
Lineage: Bacteria
Description: bacterial SSU rRNA
Rfam family: Bacterial small subunit ribosomal RNA
Source: RNAcentral
GAUGAACGCUGGCGGCGUGCUUAACACAUGCAAGUCGAACGGGAAUGCCACGCUGAUGCGAUUUCGGUCAAAUCAUGUGGCAUUCGAGUGGCGGACGGGUGAGUAACGCGUGGGUAACCUGCCUUACACAGGGGGAUAACACCUGGAAACAGGUGCUAAUACCGCAUAAGCGCACAGGGCCGCAUGGCCCGGUGUGAAAAACUCCGGUGGUGUAAGAUGGACCCGCGUCUGAUUAGCUUGUUGGCGGGGUAGGGGCCCACCAAGGCGACGAUCAGUAGCCGGCCUGAGAGGGUGGACGGCCACAUUGGGACUGAGACACGGCCCAAACUCCUACGGGAGGCAGCAGUGGGGGAUAUUGGACAAUGGGGGAAACCCUGAUCCAGCGACGCCGCGUGAGUGAAGAAGUAUUUCGGUAUGUAAAGCUCUAUCAGCAGGGAAGCAAGUGACGGUACCUGAGGAAUAAGCCACGGCUAACUACGUGCCAGCAGCCGCGGUAAUACGUAGGUGGCAAGCGUUAUCCGGAUUUACUGGGUGUAAAGGGCGUGUAGGCGGGACUGCAAGUCAGAUGUGAAAACCACGGGCUCAACCUGUGGCCUGCAUUUGAAACUGUAGUUCUUGAGUACUGGAGAGGCAGACGGAAUUCCUAGUGUAGCGGUGAAAUGCGUAGAUAUUAGGAGGAACACCAGUGGCGAAGGCGGUCUGCUGGACAGCAACUGACGCUGAGGCGCGAAAGCGUGGGGAGCAAACAGGAUUAGAUACCCUGGUAGUCCACGCUGUAAACGAUGGAUACUAGGUGUGGGGGGACUGACCCCCUCCGUGCCGCAGUUAACACAAUAAGUAUCCCACCUGGGGAGUACGAUCGCAAGGUUGAAACUCAAAGGAAUUGACGGGGGCCCGCACAAGCGGUGGAGUAUGUGGUUUAAUUCGAAGCAACGCGAAGAACCUUACCAGGGCUUGACAUCCCGGUGACCGCUCUAGAGAUAGGGCUUUCUCUUCGGAGACAUCGGAGACAGGUGGUGCAUGGUUGUCGUCAGCUCGUGUCGUGAGAUGUUGGGUUAAGUCCCGCAACGAGCGCAACCCUUAUUGUUAGUUGCUACGCAAGAGCACUCUAGCGAGACUGCCGUUGACAAAACGGAGGAAGGUGGGGACGACGUCAAAUCAUCAUGCCCCUUAUGGCCAGGGCUACACACGUGCUACAAUGGCGUAAACAAAGGGAAGCGAGAUUGUGAAAUGGAGCAAAUCCCAAAAAUAACGUCUCAGUUCGGAUUGUAGUCUGCAACUCGACUACAUGAAGCUGGAAUCGCUAGUAAUCGCAGAUCAGAAUGCUGCGGUGAAUACGUUCCCGGGUCUUGUACACACCGCCCGUCACACCAUGGGAGUUGGAAAUGCCCGAAGUCGGUGACCUAACCUGAAAAGGGAGGAGCCGCCGAAGGCAGGUCUGAUAACUGGGGUG